UACGAAGGGGGCUAGCGUUGCUCGGAAUUAUUGGGCGUAAAGGGCUCGUAGGCGGUUUGUCGCGUCGGGAGUGAAAACUCAGGGCUUAACCCUGAGCCUGCUUCCGAUACGGGCAGACUAGAGGUAUGCAGGGGAGAACGGAAUUCCUGGUGUAGCGGUGAAAUGCGCAGAUAUCAGGAGGAACACCGGUGGCGAAGGCGGUUCUCUGGGACGGUACUGACGCUGGAGACGCGAAAGCGUGGGGAGCGAACAGG
RNAcentral lists this ribosomal RNA (254 nucleotides) under uncultured bacterium. RNAcentral's name for it is "partial 16S ribosomal RNA". It matches the Rfam family "Bacterial small subunit ribosomal RNA", at positions 524 to 776 of the family's 1533-position model. The record is from RNAcentral.